RNAcentral lists this ribosomal RNA (431 nucleotides) under uncultured bacterium. RNAcentral describes it as "partial 16S ribosomal RNA". It matches the Rfam family "Bacterial small subunit ribosomal RNA", at positions 29 to 507 of the family's 1533-position model. The record is from RNAcentral.
AACGAACGCUGGCGGCAGGCUUAACACAUGCAAGUCGAGCGCCUCGCCAGUGGAGCGGCCGACGGGUGAGUAACGCGUGGGAACGUACCCUUAUCUUCGUAAUAGCCCUGGGAUACUGGAAGUAAUACCGAAUGUGCCCUUAGGGGGAAAGAUUUAUCGGAUAAGGAUCGGCCCGCGUGGGAUUCGCUCGUUGGUGGGGUAAAGGCGUACCAAGGCGACGAUCCAUAGCUGGUCUGAGAGGAUGAUCAGCCACAUUGGGACUGAGACACGGCCCAAACUCCUACGGGAGGCAGCAGUGGGGAAUAUUGGACAAUGGGCGCAAGCCUGAUCCAGCCAUGCCGCGUGAGUGAUGAAGGCCUUAGGGAUGUAAAGCUCUUUCACCGGAGAAGAUAAUGACGGUAUCCGGAGAAGAAGCCCCGGCUAACUUCGUG